Molecule: non-coding RNA, 4508 nt
Organism: Oryctolagus cuniculus (rabbit)
Lineage: Eukaryota; Metazoa; Chordata; Mammalia; Lagomorpha; Leporidae
Source: RefSeq, a predicted model, not a curated record
AGGGGGCAUGGUGGUGUACUUCCCCGCAGCCAGCAGGGCUGGUGAUCAGUAAUGCUGUGUGAGUCGCUGGGUGGGUGAAGAGGCCGUUUUGAGGCUAAGGGACUCUUCCCACUUCCUGCCUUCUCAGAAGGGAAUUUUUACGUCUGUGAAUGGUGAGCCUUGCAGCCGCUUCAUAGGUAGCAUCAGGGUUUGGCCUGUGGAGAUUUGUGUUAGUCAUGGUCCAUUUUUGCUGCACAUUCUCGCCUCUGUGGACAGUGCAUCUACCAAGGGAAUGCAAGAGCAGUGUUUUUUGCCUUGGAGCGUUCAGUCUGGUUGGCAGGACAGACAGGUCCCCGAGGAGGAGCCACCCGGCAGCUGAGGCUGGGCUGUGGUGUCGCAGGAUUGGGUGAGAGGGUCCCCGGGGCAGCUGCUGGGGCAGGGGAUGACGAGGGGCCCCUGGGUGGUCAGGGCCCGGACUGCGUCUCCACUGUUGUGGAAGUGACUGCCCCUGUGCGGUGAGCGGAGCGUCCUGGGCCCCGGUCAGCAGGCCUGGACUGGGCUCCUCCAGUGAGUCCCAGAGAGCCAGAGGCGGCGUGGGCUCGGCUCUGUGUCCGUGCUGCCGGUGGAGCAGUGGCAAGCCCUCGUCUCUGGAGUGAGUCGGUCACGUAUUCUCUGCCGCGCCCCGUGGACACGGUGGAAGAGGACCAGAGGCGGUGUGGGCUCGGCUCUGUGUCCGUGCUGCCAGUGGAGCAGUGGCGAGCCCUCGUCUCUGGAGUGAGUCGGUCACGUAUUCUCUGCCGCGCCCCGUGGACACGGUGGAAGAGGACCAGAGGCGGCGUGGGCUCGGCUCUGUGUCCGUGCUGCCGAUGGAGCAGUGGCGAGCCCUCGUCUCUGGAGUGAGUCGGUCACGUAUUCUCUGCCGCGCCCCGUGGACACGGUGGAAGCAGCGCAGCUUCUCCAGACCUUUCCUUUUGGCCACUGAGGGGAGAAGUGGCCGUGUGCAAGCCUUGGGCUGAGCGUCCGCAGCCUCCAGCCCCGUGGGUUGUGAUUUUGGGGCAGCUCCUCGGUCUCUUCAUCUGUAGAGGGAGAUCCAGCUGCUUCACCCGUUCUCACUCUGCUCUGACGCAGGGCCCUGAUUCUUCUCUUCCCAAACCUUUUGCACACAGCUCUUUGGGGAAGAACUGUUCCCGGGGAGGAGGCUGUGUGGUGCACCUGUCGAGGGUCCCUGCAGCAUUGGUGGCCUGCCUCACCACGGGGCAGUCUGCAGGGCGGGGCCCCGGGGUCUCUGCUCUCUGCUCCCUGCCUGCUUUUCCAGGGGCCGCUUAGGCGAACGGAAGAGAAGGAAGAGAUGUACACUGCGCUGUCCAAAAAGGUAGCCGCCAGCCGCGUGUGGCCACGUGAAUACAAUCAAUUGAAAUUAAAUGCGAUCCCCUGCACAGUGCUGACAGGGCCGUCCUCAGUGCAGAAGUGGGACGGUCUGGCAUCUGGCAGCUCUGCCGGGUGCGGGCUGCCAGUUGCUGGUGCCGUUCUCUCCGGCUGACCUCGCGGCCUUGUGUGGAGGUUGGGGGUGGCCUGGGGAGGAAAGGCCUUUUUGCAGCCUCGCUUGUUCAGUGACACAGGUGUGGCGAGAGGACUGCGCCCUCAACACCUCCCUGCCCAGAGAAGAGGCGGCCGGUGCCAGGGACGCCCUUUGUGGAGGACGCGGUGGCAUUUCACUUUCCUGGUUGGACUCCUGGUCGACUCCGAGAUGAGGUCAGUGUGUGCCCGUUCCUGAGGCCUGUCCAUUUGCAGCACUGCUCUCCCAGGGGUCCGUCCUGGGACAGCCUCCGUUCCAGCAGGUUGGUCACAGUGUCAGAAAAGUGAGACCAGAUGCUCACCGCUUGCCAGCACCGUUGUUUCUCAUGCGUUGUAAGUGAGUGGAUUGGAAAAGUAUUCCAGGCAGGGCUGCUGGAGGGACCAGUCCUCUCACAGAGCCCGACACCCAGGCCUGAGCUGCACUGCUGCAGCUGGGCCCACCCCUGAUGGGAGCUGCCUAUUUGAGGGCCCUGUGGAGUGCGCCCGUCAGCUGAUGUGUGGUGGUAUCGGCGCCGCCCCCAGACCUCCUCUGGGGUCUAUGGAGUGCGCCUGUCAGCUUAUGUGAUGUGUGGUGGUGUCGGUGCCGCCCCCAGACCUCUGGGGUCUAUGGAGUGAGCCCAUCAGCUGAUGUGAUGUGUGGUGGUGUCGGUGCCGCCCCCAGACCUCCUCUGGGGUCUUUGAGCUUUGUGGGCUUCUGUGGUUCAGAGAGGUUUGCUGUCAUUCUAUGGACCGAGUUGUGUGACUAAUCUGGCUUCCCGCCCACACCUCCCACUUCCCCAUCGUCCAGUACAGGAGCCACUUUCCAAGCUGAGAUGGAAGCUGAGGGCCAAAUGCAUGUGUUCUGUUGCUGUUGUUUUAAGAUUUAUUUAUUUGAAAGGCACAGAGUGGGGGUCGUGACAGAUCUUCCAUCCGCUGGUUCACUCCCCAGAUGGCUGCAACAGCUAGAGUUGGGUCAGGAAGAAGCCAAGGGACUCCCUUGGGAUCUCAUGGGAGUGGCAGGGGCCCAAGCCCUUGGGCCAUCUUGUCCUGCGUUCGCAGGUGAAUUAGCAGGGAGCUGGAUCAGAAGUGGAGCAACCAGGACUCUAACCAGUGCUCUGAUAGGGAAUGCUGGCUUCACAGGCGGUGGCGUAACCCACUGAACCACAGUGCUGGGCCCUGCAUGUGGGUUUUGACUUUUGUAAACAAGUGAAAGCGUGGUUGAUAGUAUUAUUUUAUGCUUACUGUAUACAUAAAUGAUAAUCCUGCGGAUGUAUAUUAGGGUAAAUGAAACAUUGUUGUGAUCUCACCUGUUUUCUACUUUGAGAAAUGGCUGCUAGGAAACUGAACGUGGCUGAGUGACUCAGGGUGUCCUGUUGGGCAGCCCCCUGGAGAGCGUCCUGAGCAAAACCUCAGCUGCCCCUCCUGAGGCGCGUUUCCCAUCCUCACUCCUGGUCCCUUAGCGAUCAACACCUUUUCUUGUAAGGGUGCUGGCUCGUAGCCUGUGUUCUUGCUGACUCAAGGCAGAGCUGGGGAUUUAGAAAGGAAAGAACUGAACGGGAUCACCAGAGCCUACCCAGCCCCUCUGCAGCCGGCUAGACAGCCGAGGGAGCCAGGUGGGGGCCCAGGUCUCCGCUGCGUGAAUGGGACAGGAUGGUGGUGUCGGUCAUGUCUGGACAGCAGGCUGGGGUGCUUGGAGAGGGUUCUGUAGCUGAGUGCCAGGCAUCUCUGGGGCAUCACCCUUGGCACAGGGCUGCCUUGUUCCUCUGAGUGUCCUCAGCUCACCAGCAGCUCUGGGAACUUGGGUGUUUUCCCCGGGCGGGGAGGAUAACUUGAGGCCAGCAUACCCCACCUCCCCCUAGCUCUCUGACUUCAUGGAAUGUCAGACCAGCCUGGUAACAUCUCCCCAAGCCCCUCCCUUCUCCCCGGGGAUCUGCUGUGUCAGGGCGUGGGGUUGCCAUCACACCUGGCUCAAGUAGGCCCAGAGGCCCUUUGGGGCCUGUGCUGUUCUUGGUCUUGCUCUGAUGUCCACCAGACCUUGGGAUUCUGUGUCCUGCAUGUCUGUGGUGUCUGCUCUCUCCCAGCUGGACUACUGCAGGCAGCCUCCACUUCCGUUCCCCAGCCCCCCUGGGCUUUCCUUUCCUAGGCCCACUGUCUGCCUGUACUAUGGCCUGUGUGGCACCUGUGCCGUUGAGAAAGGAUGUUGUCUCCUCCCCAGCCUGCUGGUCUCGCCUGCCAGCUUGUCUGCGUCCCUUCCCUGGUACUUCUGUGAACCUCUGUCGAGUCCUGGCUGGGAGGCAGGCGCUCUAGGCUGCUGCUGCCCACAGGGCCCCUCGGCCCCCCACACCCUUCAUGCACUGAGAGGGCUUGCUGCCUUCUUGCUGGGCUUCUUCAGGGUCCCUACCUUGUGCCCUCUCUCUCGGUGUCAGGGUCCAUGAGCUGAUAAAUGUGCAAGAAACGUGGAUUGAGGGAGGGGCUCUGCUCUGGGUGGGAGGAAGUGGGAAGAAGUGGUGCCAUCUGAUAGAGCAGAAGAACUCGUGCCAUUGCAUUGUGUGCAUAAUAGUGUUGCAGGGGCCGGCGCUGUGGCGUAGCAGGUAAAGCUGCCGCCUGCAGUGCCAGCAUUCCAUAUGGGUGCCGGAUCGAGUCCCAGCUGCUUCCCUUCCGAUCCAGCUCUCUGCUAUGGCCUGGGAAAGCAGCAGAAGAUGGGCCAAGGGCUUGGGCCCCUGUGCCCACGUGGGAGACCCAGAAGAGGCUCCUGGCUUUGGAUUGGUGGAACUCCAGCCAUUUUGGCCAACUGGGGAGUGAACCAGUGAUGGAAGACGUAUCUCUGUCUGUCUGUCUCUCUCUCUCUCCCCACCAGCCUCGCUCUCUUCCCCCUCCCUCACUGUCUCUCUCUGCCUCUGCCUCUCUGUAGUUCUGCCUUUCAAAUAAAUAAAUAAAUCUUUAAAAAAAAAAAAAAAGUUUGCGGCCGGCACCGC